GACGAACGCUGGCGGCGUGCUUAACACAUGCAAGUCGAGCGGUAAGGCCCUUUCGGGGGUACACGAGCGGCGAACGGGUGAGUAACACGUGGGUGACCUGCCCUCAGCUCUGGGAUAAGCCUGGGAAACCGGGUCUAAUACCGGAUAUGACUCCAUGACGCAUGUUGUGGGGUGGAAAGCCUUGUGCGGCUGAGGAUGGGCCCGCGGCCUAUCAGCUUGUUGGUGGGGUGAUGGCCUACCAAGGCGACGACGGGUAGCCGGCCUGAGAGGGCGACCGGCCACACUGGGACUGAGACACGGCCCAGACUCCUACGGGAGGCAGCAGUGGGGAAUUUUUCGCAAUGGGCGAAAGCCUGACGAAGCAACGCCGCGUGGAGGAUGACGGCCCUCGUGGUCUUAAACUCCUGUCUAGUGGGACGAAAGUAUCCAGGGUGAAUAAUCCUGGGUAUUGACUGUACCGCU
This 462-nucleotide ribosomal RNA is filed under the name uncultured bacterium. Its description in RNAcentral is "partial 16S ribosomal RNA". It matches the Rfam family "Bacterial small subunit ribosomal RNA", at positions 28 to 482 of the family's 1533-position model. The record is from RNAcentral.